GUGAGGAAUUUUCCGCAAUGGGCGAAAGCCUGACGGAGCAAUGCCGCGUGAAGGAUGAAGGCCUAUGGGUUGUAAACUUCUUUUCUCAGAAAAGAAUUAUGACGGUAUCUGAGGAAUAAGCAUCGGCUAACUCUGUGCCAGCAGCCGCGGUAAGACCGAGGAUGCAAGCGUUAUCCGGAAUGAUUGGGCGUAAAGCGUCUGUAGGUUGUUUAAAAAGUAUUCUGUCAAAGAUUAGGGCUUAACCCUAGAUAGGCAGAAUAAACUUUUAAGCUAGAGUUUGGUAGAGGCAGAGGGAAUUCCCGGUGGAGCGGUGAAAUGCGUAGAUAUCGGGAGGAACACCAAAGGCGAAGGCACUCUGCUGGGCCAAUACUAACACUGAGAGACGAAAGCGAGGGGAGCAAAUGGGAUUAGAUACCCCUGUAGUCC
This 426-nucleotide ribosomal RNA is filed under the name uncultured bacterium. RNAcentral's name for it is "partial 16S ribosomal RNA". It matches the Rfam family "Bacterial small subunit ribosomal RNA", at positions 354 to 796 of the family's 1533-position model. The record is from RNAcentral.